Molecule: ribosomal RNA, 301 nt
Filed under: uncultured bacterium
Lineage: Bacteria
Description: partial 16S ribosomal RNA
Rfam family: Bacterial small subunit ribosomal RNA
Source: RNAcentral
CAGCCGCCGCGGUAAUACGAAGGGUGCAAGCGUUAAUCGGAAUUACUGGGCGUAAAGCGUGCGUAGGCGGUUUGUUAAGUCUGCUGUGAAAUCCCCGGGCUCAACCUGGGAAUGGCAGUGGAUACUGGCAAGCUAGAGUGUGUCAGAGGAUGGUGGAAUUCCCGGUGUAGCGGUGAAAUGCGUAGAGAUCGGGAGGAACAUCAGUGGCGAAGGCGGCCAUCUGGGACAACACUGACGCUGAGGCACGAAAGCGUGGGGAGCAAACAGGAUUAGAUACCCGCGUAGUCCCUGUCUCUUAUAC